GAUGAACGCUGGCGGCGUGCCUAAUACAUGCAAGUCGAGCGAAUGGAUUAAGAGCUUGCUCUUAUGAAGUUAGCGGCGGACGGGUGAGUAACACGUGGGUAACCUGCCCAUAAGACUGGGAUAACUCCGGGAAACCGGGGCUAAUACCGGAUAAUAUUUUGAACUGCAUGGUUCAAAAUUGAAAGGCGGCUCCGGCCGUCACUUAUGGAUGGACCCGCGUCGCAUUAGCUAGUUGGUGAGGUAACGGCUCACCAAGGCAAGGAUGCGUAGCCGCCCUGAGGGGGGGAUCGGCGACACUGGGACUGAGACACGGCCCAGACUCCGACGGGAGGCAGCAGUAGGGAAUCUUCCGCAAUGGACGAAAGUCUGACGGAGCAACGCCGCGUGAGUGAUGAAGGCUUUCGGGUCGUAAAACUCUGUUGUUAGGGAAGAACAAGUGCUAGUUGAAUAAGCUGGCACCUUGACGGUACCUAACCAGAAAGCCACGGCUAACUACGUGCCAGCCGCCGCAGUAA
This 515-nucleotide ribosomal RNA is filed under the name uncultured bacterium. RNAcentral's name for it is "partial 16S ribosomal RNA". It matches the Rfam family "Bacterial small subunit ribosomal RNA", at positions 28 to 523 of the family's 1533-position model. The record is from RNAcentral.